RNAcentral lists this ribosomal RNA (448 nucleotides) under uncultured bacterium. RNAcentral describes it as "partial 16S ribosomal RNA". It matches the Rfam family "Bacterial small subunit ribosomal RNA", at positions 329 to 793 of the family's 1533-position model. The record is from RNAcentral.
GGCCAGACUCCUACGGGAGGCAGCAGUGGGGAAUAUUGCACAAUGGGGGAAACCCUGAUGCAGCGACGCCGCGUGAGCGAUGAAGUAUUUCGGUAUGUAAAGCUCUAUCAGCAGGGAAGAAAAUGACGGUACCUGACUAAGAAGCCCCGGCUAACUACGUGCCAGCAGCCGCGGUAAUACGUAGGGGGCAAGCGUUAUCCGGAUUUACUGGGUGUAAAGGGGGCGUAGACGGCGGUGCAAGCCAGAUGUGAAAGCCCGGGGCUCAACCCCGGGACUGCAUUUGGAACUGUAAGGCUAGAGUGUCGGAGAGGCAGGCGGAAUUCCUAGUGUAGCGGUGAAAUGCGUAGAUAUCAGGAGGAACACCGGUGGCGAAGGCGGCCUGCUGGACUGCGACUGACGUUGAGGCCCGAAAGCGUGGGGAGCAAACAGGAUUAGAUACCCCUGUAUG